UACGUAGUUAGCCGUGACUUUCUCACAGGGUACCGUCACUGUCUUCUUCCCCUGCGACAACAGUUUACAAUCCGAAGACCUUCUUCCUGCACGCGGCGUUGCUGCGUCAGGGUUCCCCCCAUUGCGCAAUAUUCCCCACUGCUGCCUCCCGUAGGAGUCUGGGCCGUGUCUCAGUCCCAAUGCGGCCGAUCAACCUCUCAGUUCGGCUACAGAUCGUCGCCUUGGUGAGCCGUUACCUCACCAACCAGCUAAUCUGACGCGAGUCCAUCCAUAAGCGAUAAAUCUUUCAAAUAUCUACCAUGCGGUAAAUAUUCAAUAUGCGGUAUUAGUCCACGUUUCCAUGGAUUAUCCCCCUCUUAUGGGCAGGUUACUCACGCGUUACUCGCCCGUCCGCCACUUUCCUCUUAAAAGUUCACCCCGAAGGGAUCACACAUAAGAUUCUCGUUCGACUUGCAUGUGUUAGGCACGCCGCCAGCGUGUCUCGUAGCCGACGGACGUCGAAACUACU
This 508-nucleotide ribosomal RNA is filed under the name uncultured bacterium. Its description in RNAcentral is "partial 16S ribosomal RNA". The record is from RNAcentral.